Molecule: long non-coding RNA, 521 nt
Filed under: Citrus sinensis (sweet orange)
Lineage: Eukaryota; Viridiplantae; Streptophyta; Magnoliopsida; Sapindales; Rutaceae
Description: long non-coding RNA (CSIN_LNC004073)
Source: RNAcentral
GAUGAGAACCAUCAAGGGACCAUUAAAACUUCAAGUGAUCCUUUGCACAUUCAUGGAGGCCCAAUUACAAGAGCAAGAGCCAAAAAGAUGCAAGCUGCUUUAAAUGGAUUAAUUGAGAAAAUAUGGAUUGAAAAUGCAAUUCAAGAUGCAAGACAUCAUGAAUUGGGCUUGAAGAGAAGACAAGGCAUUGUGGGCAUUAUUCAAGUCAUUGGGCAGCCAAAUACACAAGUUGUAUCAAAUGCAGAAAGGUCAAAUUCGGAAUAAAAACUGUAUUGAUUGAGCCAGAAUUAAAGUGCAAGCUAUAUACCGUUAGAAAGAUAAUUAAGUUAGCUUUCCAAUAAAUUUUACAAAGCUGGAUUUGGAGUUCUCUAGAAGGAGUAUAUACCUUUGGAAAGAUAAUUAAGUUAGCUUUCCAAUACAUUUUACAGAGCUGGAUUUGGAGUUCUCUAGAAGGAGUUAUGACCAAUUCUUUACAGCUUGUUCAGACUUGGGAUUUUCAACGAAUCCUUUGUUUUUCAACU